This is a non-coding RNA of Caenorhabditis elegans, 88 nucleotides long. Lineage: Eukaryota; Metazoa; Nematoda; Chromadorea; Rhabditida; Rhabditidae. The record is from Ensembl.
GCUUGGGCUUAGGCUUAGGCUUAGGCUUAGGCUUAGGCUUAGGCUUAGGCUUAGGCUUAGGCUUAGGCUUAGGCUUAGGCUUAGGCUU